CUCCCUGUAGUUCAAUGGAUCAGAAUACUAGUUUACGAAGCUUGAGAUACCUGUUCGAAUCAGGUCAGGGAGUCCA
Molecule: transfer RNA, 76 nt
Filed under: Gammaproteobacteria bacterium
Lineage: Bacteria; Pseudomonadati; Pseudomonadota; Gammaproteobacteria
Description: tRNA-Arg
Rfam family: tRNA
About the family: Transfer RNA (tRNA) molecules are approximately 80 nucleotides in length. Their secondary structure includes four short double-helical elements and three loops (D, anti-codon, and T loops). Further hydrogen bonds mediate the characteristic L-shaped molecular structure. tRNAs have two regions of fundamental functional importance: the anti-codon, which is responsible for specific mRNA codon recognition, and the 3' end, to which the tRNAs corresponding amino acid is attached (by aminoacyl-tRNA synthetases). tRNAs cope with the degeneracy of the genetic code in two manners: having more than one tRNA (with a specific anti-codon) for a particular amino acid; and 'wobble' base-pairing, i.e. permitting non-standard base-pairing at the 3rd anti-codon position.
Source: RNAcentral